RNAcentral lists this long non-coding RNA (10523 nucleotides) under Citrus sinensis (sweet orange). Its description in RNAcentral is "long non-coding RNA (CSIN_LNC003121)". The record is from RNAcentral. Lineage: Eukaryota; Viridiplantae; Streptophyta; Magnoliopsida; Sapindales; Rutaceae.
AGCGAUGGUGAUCAAUCUUGUCAAAAUUUGACUUCUAAAAGAAGUCACGUUGCAGAAGAUACUAAUAGAAAUCAUGUUGCAGAAAAAGUAAAUUUGGUUUCUACUAGGAAUCAUGUUGCAGAAAAUAUUGGUUUGGUCCCUGAACCUCAGGGAAGGGACCAUUCGAUUUCUUGUUACAGAAAUCAUGUUGCAGAAAAAAUCGUCGAAGAUUCUGUUGAGGCAGAAACUCGACGGCUUGCAGAACUCAAUCGACGGGGUGAUGGCUUUGAUGGACGGAAUGACACGUCUGUCUCGGCUGUGCAGUCAUCAGAUUAUCCAGAACAGGAAUCAUCAGAUUGUAAUGGUUCUAGUUGUGGUAGCGGUUUAUUGAAUUCUCAGUUGGACGGUGGGCAGGUAGAUGUCCGGUUCAGUUCACGGAGGGAUUUUCAGAAUGAAUACUCUCCUGAGGAGACUGGAGAGACCACUCCGGACUUCUUCAAAUCAAAGUCAGAUGAAGGAGUUUACGUGGAGGAUGGCAGUGACGCGAACCCUGAAACCGAAUCCUUCAAUGAAUGGGUAAACAUAGUCUUUGACUAUCAAUCUUCCGUCAGUGGCAUAUGUUAAGAACUAUCAAAUCCUCAAGGAGGAUAUUAGAUCAUUAUGAAUGUUGUAAUAUUGUUUCACUUAUGGUGUAUUGUAUUCCAAGCUUUGUAUUCUUUGAGAGUAGUUUUUACACCCAAGAGGCUGUUAAUUUUGUAAACAAAAGGCAAGGCAGCAAGUCCGAGAUCUUCUGGGUUAUCUUAGAAUUCAUAACUUAAUGAGGGGAUCAUGUUACUGUCCAGUUUGCUCAUAGAUUUUGCAAUGUUAUUGCCCAAUCUAUAGCUAAAUCAGCUCUAUAGAAAUGUGAAACUGUUGUUUUAGGCUCGUACCCUUCGCGACUGAUGUACCUAUUUUCUUCUUUGAAUUGAAAGUGGUUUUAUUCUCAGGUAAAAAAAAAGAUUGUAUUUUUUACAUAUCGGGAAUAUUAGAUAAACAUUUAGUCUUGCUCAUCAAAGAAUUUACUGAUUAACUGAAAUAUCAAACAAAAGAUCCAUAAUCCAUUUAUAUAUGAUGUUAAAAAUUCUUGUGAUGGGAACCAUUUCAUUCAUGUAUGUAUGACACCUUUUUGUUGGCUUCUCUAACAAUCUCCGAGCAUCCUUGUAAAUAAUACGAAGAUGUUAGUCAAGCAGUUCAUUGUGGCUUUGAAGCUUAAAUAAUUUUCACAUAUUGAAAAGCAAAAACAAGAGAUAAAAUGAACCCCAUCCCGGGUGACUGAAGUUGCUCCUUCAGAAAGGUGACUUAUUUACUUUAAAGAAACAAGUAAUAAAGCAGAAACAAGAGAUAAAAAUGCGCAGAGCACUGCUUAUUUCACCCUUCAAUUUAUUGGAAUACAUAUAUUAAAGACUGUUUCUGGUACCCCAAGAUGGGUGAUGUACAACUACAGCUACUCUGCGCUCCUCAUAAUCCUCUUCCAAUGGUCUACAUGGAUUUAUUCGAAAGCUAGUGAAAUGAUUUUGAAGAUAAAAUUGGUCAUUCCAGAUUUAUUAAAAUUGAAUCUGAAAACACAUUUCUGAAAGUACAUUUUUGAAAACACAUUUCUGAUUUUGAAAACACAUUUCUGAAAAUACAUAUUUUAAAAAGUGCUGACUAAUAUCCAAAGAAAUAUUUUUUUCAAUGGUAAAAUAUAAAUACCAAGCCAACAAAACUGUAUUCUAAAAUAGAUUUUUAGAAAGGAUAAAUGUUCAUUUAGUCCAUAUAUUUUAAUAUUAGUGUCCAUAAUUUUAAAAAUAAUUCAAAAUAUUUUUGUUAUUAAACUAUUGAUAUUUAUGCCGUUACAUUCCAUUCAUUUUAGAUUACUUUUAUAAUAUUACCCUCUUAAAAUAAUUUUUUUAGAUAUUAAUAAAAAAAUUAAAUUACCAAUUGAACUCCAAAAAUAAAAUAAAAUAAAAACAAAAAGAAUAUUUAAUUUUUUUUUGGAAGCUCACCUAUGUCCAAAAAAAUUAGUCUUGUAAAAAAAAAUCGAAUUACCAAUUUUUUGAACAUUAAUAAAAAAAAUUAUAAAUUAACUCUUCAGUAAUAUAUUUCACAAAAAUUAAUAUAUAAUAUUUUUAUUUUAUUUUUGGGUUAAAUUGGUUUAAUUUUUUUUUAUUAAUGUCUAAAAAAUUACUGCUGUACGGCCAAGGCGGAUGUACGGUACAGCAGUAAUAUUUUUGCUGACUUUUUUUAGCAAAAUGAAGACCUAAUUACUAAUAAUUCAUACCCACACGCAUGUGGGAUUAGACAAUUCAAUGCAAACGGCCAAGGCGAGAAGCUUCUAGGCUCUAGCAUUAUGUCCUUUGUUGAUGUCACUCUAAUGCCUAAAGGUUAUGCUUGUUUUGGAGUGGUAGAUGGAUUUUAAUAGUGGUAUGUCAAAUUUCCAAUGACCUAAGAUGAGGAUUUUGUGUGAGAAUUUUCUAGUGAUUUUUUUGUGUUUUUAUUGAUUUUUUAUGAUUUUUUUUUUUUUGUAUUUUGUUAGUUCAUUAAAUUCAUAGAUAUUUACUUUUGAAUUUUUUCAUAGAUAUUUACUUUUGAGUUCUUCUAUUAUGAUCCGGUGAUAAUAUUGUGUUUUAUUUAUUAGCGCUAUGUUGAGGUUUUUCUCGAUUAGAUUUUGUUUUUUUUUUUUAAUACUGAGUACAUAUCAGAUUCCUAUAUUACACAUAUAUUUACAAUUAUUAUUAGAACAGACAUUAUAUUGAUAUUUAUAAUCAGAUAUAUAGUUUGGAACUUAUAUUAUUACAUUAAUUCUAUAAAAUACAUGUUCAUACAUAUGACCCUCACAUACAAGGGAUGCCUAUACUCUAUUUGUAUUUUGUAAAGGAGAAAAAUUUACAAAUUAAUUCCACAUAAUUGUUUACUUAAUUGAAAAAAAUUGAGCGUAUAGUGAUUCGAACCACUACUCUUAUAGUCCUUCUUAACUUUGAGAGUAGUGAUUUAUCAAUGGAUUAAAGCCCAAGUGGCGAUUGAACUUUGUUAGAUCUUAGUAUGUUGAAUUUUUUUUAAUUUUAAAGAAUUAAUCUUAUUGAUAAUUCCCUUUUUUAUGGUCAAAACUAUAUUGCCACAAAAGUUUCGUACCCUUUUUUUUGCCUUUUUCAAUGUCAAUUAUAGUAGAGUCCAUUUAUUUGUUUUGAAAAAGGCUAAAGACUUUUUUAUUUUCACAUAUUAGUCCUGCACCUAAAAUUUUUCAAUUGCUGUGAUGCUUUUGGAAGCUACAAUCUAUUUCAGAAGCACCUUCUGAAGAUGUUGAUAUGAACACAAUAUUAUGGCAUCACAUACUUGUCAUUUGGACAAUAUAAGUUUUUUUUUUUUUUUGCAAUAUACAUAAAGAAACAAAUGCAUAAUUUGCUAGAAUUGAAGAGGGAAAAAAAAAAAGAAAUCCAUUUCACUAUCAAUCUAAAAAAUAAAAAAAUUGGUCAUGGCCAUGGUGUUGUUUUGUGUUUUCCAUCACUUAACCAUUAAUCCGACAAGAAUAUAACACAAAACAAAAUUGAAUGGUAAGUUUGACAUAAUUAUUUAAUUGGUCAUAUCCUUGUUAAUUAAGGAUGACAAAAUUUAGAUGGCUAUAAUUAUUAGCCAUCUAUGUGUAAAAACAUAAUUAUCCAAUAUGAAUAUGGUUAUUUAAGGGUAGACAUGGAUAUUUAAUUUUUAUUAUAAAUCACUAUGUAUUUUAUAAUAUGAAAAACUAAUUAAUGUGUUUUACAUAAAAAAUUCUUAUUUUUUAUUUAAUUUCCUAAAAUGAUUAAUAUUAAAAGGUAAUUAAAAUUAUUUUCAAUAUAGAAAGAAAAUAAUAAAACAAAAUUAUUACUCUUAUUUUUAAUUACAAAAAAAGAAAUAUUUAAAUUAUUUUCAAAUAGAGUAAUUGUUAAGAUUUAUUCUUUUUAUUUAAGGACAAAAACUCAACUAAAAGUACAAAAUUCUUGUUCAAAUGAACAGAAUGAUUUUACGAAUUGAUAAACUAACACUUUAUUAUUAGUAGUAAAUUAAUAUAUUUUUCUACAUUAUCAAAUAAUUAAUAGUAUGUGAAAUAAAUAUUAUGUUACAAGAAAAUAAUAAAACAUUAAUCAUAAAUUAAAACCUGUCUACGGUGCAGCUCUGUGACUAAGGGUAUCUCCAAUGCUUAAUACUAUUUUGGUGUAACACCAACACAAAAAAUGUACCUUUUUCACACCAAAUUAUUAUUUCAUCUCCAACCUAUUUACACUAAAAAGAAUAUUCUUCUUUUUAUUCUUUUAAUUCUCAAGAAUUAAUUCAAUUAACACAAUAAAUAUUACUAUUAAUAUAGAUAAUUAAGUAAUAAGUAAUUUUAAUCGAUUAACAAAAAAAUAUAUAGAAAAUUAUUAAAUUUGCAUUUAAUUAACUUAAUUAGUACAUUCUGAAAAUUAAACAAUAAAUUAAUAUAGAAAAAUACAAUAACAAUAAUAAUACUUUAGUUAUUCGAAUUACUAAAUUUAUCCAUAAAUGAUCAAUUAGUGGAUUUCAGAGUGCAGUGUGAGCCUCUUUAUCCUUGAUUUGUUUGUGUCGAGCAAGAAAUUCUUGAAAUCUAAUAUUCUCAUCUACCCUCAUAGCAACGGUUGGUAUUGGCGCUUGCAUCCAAUCAUUAAUUGUUGCAUUAACAUCACGUUCAUCUUCGAUUAUCAUAUUGUGUAUAAUAAUGCAGGCAGUCAUUAUAUCAUGUAACUCAUGUUUGUUCCAAAAACGUAAUGGUCCAGCAACAAUUGCAAAAUGAGAUUGAAGGACUUCAAAUGCACGUUUUACAUCUUUCUGAUAUGCUUCUUAUCUCAUGUCAAAUAAUUUCUUUUUAGGACCACGUAGAUCAUGGAUCGUUUGUAUAAGAGUAGACCAUUUUGGGUAGAUAGCAUCAGCUAAAUAAUAACCCAUAUUAUAUUCAUUCCCUUUAAUGACAUAAUGAGCAGGAGGAGUAAUACCUGAAGCGAGGUUGGCAAAAAGAUGGGAUGCCUCCAAUACAUUAAUGUCAUUAUUUGAACCAGGCAAACCAAAAUGUGCAUGCCAUAUCCAAAUAUCAUAAUAAACUACAGCCUCCAGAAUAAAUAGUUGGGGUUCCACUACGACCAGCAUAUUGUCCGGCCCAAGCUGUUGGAUAACUUUUCUACUUCCAUUGCAUGUAAUCUAGGCUGCCUAAUAUUCCUGAAAAACCACACUCUUUACGAACAUGGAGUAGCCUAGCGGCGUCAUUAGUGUUGGGUGAUCUAAGAUAUUGCUCUGCAAAAACUUCCACAAUUGCACGACAGAAUAUCUUUAAACUUUCAAUUGUUGUAGACUCUCCAAUUUUAAUAUACUCAUCACUAGCAUCUAUUGGCAUGCCAUAUGCCAACAUCCGAAAUAUAACAGUGAUUUUUUGAAGACCAGAUAACCCAAGUCUGUCGACGCCAUCCCUUUGCUGCAUAAAAUAGUUGUCAUGACCUUGUACGGCAUUAGUAAUACGAUUGAAUAAACUUUGAGACAUUCUAAAUCGACGGCAAAACAUUGAAUCAUUGAAACGCGGGUUCUUUGAGAAGUAGUCGUUGAACAGAUUACGAUUAGCCAUUUCAUGAUUGCGGUUGAUUAUUAAAUGACCUGUAACUGAACCAUUAUGGAUCACUUUGUUGUUUAGUUGAUUGAGAUAGUAAACCAUGCAAAUAUUGUUGUUUGAAGUCAUGCUAAUUAUCACUUCUUCAUGUACAUUGAUCGCCUCAAUAUCAUUUAUUAGGUUUACAUCAUCAUCAUUUUCAACAUCAGAAUUUGAAGAAGAUGAAGAAUAUGAUAAGUGCUGAGAUGAACUUCCAAUAUUGAAAUUCAUUUUCAAAGAUAUGUAAAUUGAAUGAGCUUUAGUACACAUAAAUAUAUCAUUUUUAUAAUAGAUUUACUUUUACCCAAUCUUAUCAUAUCUACACAUAAUUCAAAAUUUAAAGAUAAUGAUUCUCUCAUAUUCAAUACCAACCGUUGGAUGGAUUUCACUUAUUUUCAUCAAUUAGAUUAACUUUUACCCAAUUUUAUCAUAUCUACACAUUAUUCAAAAUUUAAAAAUAAUGAUUCUCUCAUAUUCAAUACCAAUUGUUGGAUGGAUUUCACUUAUUUUCAUCUAUUAGAUAUGUUUCUUUUUCAUCUAUAAAUACCAUUGUAAACUUCACUUCACUCAAACAUAUCUCUUCAACCAUUUAUUCUAUAAAAUGGCUCUAACUCCAAGAAGUACUUCAUACACCCAUGAAGAAGAUAUACACUUAUGUCAUAUAUAUCUUGAUAUUUCCCAAAACCCUAUUGUUGGUAUAAAUCAAUCUCGAGAUGCAUUUUGGUCUCGAGUUGAAAUUGAAUACAAUAAUUCUAAACUGGAGUUCACCACUCAAGUUCGACCACGAAUAUCUUUGCAAAAACAAAUGCAAAGUAUUCUAGCUGCAAUUGGCAAACUGAGGGGAUGCGUUCAACAAAUUGAAAAUCAAAAUCCAAGCGGUGCUUCUGAACAAGAUAUUGUAAACUUAUAUUACAUCUUUACUAUUUUUAUCUUACACUUAUUUUAUAUAUAACAUUCUAAUUACAUUAUUCUGUAGCUAAAUCGAGCGAAUGUGUUACUGGCACAAGAUAAGAAAUACAAUAAAGGGUUCAAAUUUGAUCAUGUAUGGCCUAUCCUUAAAGAUAUUGAAAAUUUUGGAGAUGAUCAUAGCAUCGCAACACCAUGCUUUCGAAGGCAAAGUAGCGAAUUUGUGUCAUCACAAUCAGAUUCUCUCGCUCCGGAGUCUCCAACAUCAGCAUCUCUUGGUCUAUUAUCAUUUUCACUAAAUAUAAAUGAUGAGCAUGUUGACGAUUGUUCUACUCAACGACCCAUUGGAGUAAAGAAGGCAAAAGGAAAAAGGAAAGUUGAAGAUCAAAAUUCACUAGUUAUUGAUACUAUUAAAGAAGACAAUCGACAACUUCAUGAAAUUCUUAAAAAAGGUAGUGAAGAUAGGCAAUAAAAUUAUUAAAUUCAAAUGAUACGAGCCCAAAAUGAGAAAAAAAAAUUGGAGAUGGUCACAUCGUGAAGAAAAUAAAAUUUUACUUAAAAAUUUAAAUUCGAUAAGUGAUCCUAACUUACGUCAAUAUUUUUCAAAAUGAACAAAUUAAGAUUUUGCAGAGAAUAUCUCAGUAAGGCCAAUCAUCUCAAAAUAUUGCCAAUAAUAUUGGCCAAUAUUUUGAUGAUAUUAGAAGAUCUAAUAAUGAUCUCCCAGAUUAUUAAAUAAUUGUUCCAAUUUAUGCUAGUAGUAGUAGCUUUUUUAAUUUAUGUUAAUUUUAUUUUGUAAUAUGUAAUCUAGUAAUUAAUGUUAUUGGCAUUUUAUUUUUAUUAUUAAUUUUUGUGUUGAAUAUUUUUUAUUUAAAUUAUUAGUAUAAUAAUCAAAAAUUAAAAAAAAAAUAAAAAAAAUAAAAAAAUAAUAAUAAUAAUUUAAAAUAUUAUAUAAAAUAGGACAUAUAUGUAAAUAAAAGAUAAUAAUAAGAAUAUUUGAGAUUUUUUUUUCUAACAUCAAAUGAAUAGUUUUAUACCAUAUUUAGUACAAUAUUAAACAUAACACUAUUUUAAAAUUGAUUUUGGUAUUAUAUUAAAAAAAUAUUUUACACUAAAAUAAUAUAAAAUAUAAUUUAGUGUUAGUUUUAGUGUUAUGGUAAAAAUGGGCUAACAUCUCCCACCAUCCUACUAUCCCAUUUUCUAUUGUUUUAUUUCUCACUCCACAUCCAACGGCUGAUGCAGUCUGUAGCUUACAGAAUCUGUAAGCUAGCAAAGCCCCAUAAAUUAUAAAUAGAGUGCUUUAAAUCAAAGUAGCAGAAAAUUCUAGAUUUUCUGUAGCUGGAUUGUGAUUUGUGAUGAAGCAGGGAGGGUGACGCGUAACUGUAAAAGCAGAGUCAAAAAGGAAAGUGGCGAUGGCCUUGUGGGGUCUUAGGCUACUUGGGUACCACGAAAACCGGAUAAACUUUACUCUUGUUUUUGGAAAAAAUAAUAAGAUUCUACCGGAUGAACUUUUAUUUUAUUUUAUUUUACCUUUUUAGUAUUUUGUUAGUUCAUUAAACUUACAGAUAUUUAAUUUGAGAUUUUUUAUUAUGAUUGGGUGAUUAUGUUGUGUUUCAUUUAUUAGCACUAUGUUGCAUUUUUUUUUCAAUCAGACCUUAUUAGAUCUACUAUGUAAAACAUUUUUUUUCUUUUAAUUGUAAAAAAUUGAUAGUAUUGAUAGUUCACUUUUUUAAUAUAUGUUGUUAUUACUGUCAUAAAAAUAUUGGUCACUUGAGUCUUAGAUUCUUCCAGAAUUUAAGUGUUGUAUUUAAAUCUGAUAUAACAUAAUAUAUUUAAGGGAAAAGGACAUUCAACCCCCCAACGUUUAAAAAAGGGGAUAAAAAAUUCCUCAACGUUUCAAAAAGGACUUAUAACCUCAUUUCCGUUAAUAAACAUCGUUUGUUUUAACAGUAAAUUUAUUUUUAAUUUUUAAUUACUAUUAUACUCUUAUAAUAAAUAUAAAUUAAUAUAUUGAUUUGAGACAUGUCACAAUUAAUAAUUUUUUUAAAACUAAAAAUUGAGAUACAAUUACAUUUUUUUCCAAAUUAUUUGCUAUAAAUUAUACAUUUCUAAUGAUCAAAACUUUCAUAUGUGAUUAUUAUUAAUAAAACGAAAUUUGAUUAAACCAUUUUUCUUUGAGGAAUCAAAAUGAUAUUAUUAUUGUUAGAAAUGUAUAAUUUAUAGUAAAUAAUUUUGGCAAAAAAAUAAUUGUAUCUCAAUUUAAAAUUUAUAAAAAAUUGUGAUAUAUCUUAAAUUAAUAUAUUAAUUUUUUUAUUAUAAGGGUAUAAUAAUAAUUAAAAAUUAAAAAUAAAUUUACUGUUAAAAUAAACGGUAUUUAUUAACGAAAAAAAAGUAUAAAUCCCUUUUAAAAUAUUAUGAAUUAAACCGUGUUUGAUAACAAAAAAAAAUUUAUAAAUCUUUUUUAAAAUAUUGAGAAAUUUUUUAUCCAUUUUCUUAAACGUAGGGGGUUGAAUGUCUUUUUCCCUAUAUUUAAACCCGAUGGUGUCACUUAUUAUUAUACUUUUGGCCAACUUUAUUUCUUUAAAAAAUUAUUAAUUUCUUUUUGAAAAAAUACAAUUCUACAUUUCACAAAUAUCACAACCAUUGUUUCCACGAACCUUACUUCCCCUGGCACUGUAGCACAUCGCGUAGAAAUUAAGUCAAGCCUUUCUGCUGCCUAUAUAACCACAUCCCAUGGCUCUCCCCUUAUUGCAGACCAAAUUGGAUAGUAGAAGCUCUUACUCUCUCAUUCUUGUUCUACGUUUCUCCUGCCGUGUGUUGAAUCAGAAAUUAAUGGACAGUCUCGUGGGGUUCAGAUUCCACCCAACUGAUGAAGAAAUUAUUCUUCUCCUGACGAUGAAGAGACGUGACCCUGCAGGUUUCUCCGUCCGUACGAUCAAGGAAAUCGAUCUCUACAGCUUUGAGCCCUGGGAGCUACCCUGUAAGUAAUCGUGUAAACCAAGUACUCUACACGAUGUCUGUUUAAGAUUAAUUAAUUAGUUCAGUAACUAGAAUUCAGAAGUUAAUGGAAUCUUUUGUUGCGAUGCAGGGCAUUCUGACAUUCAGUCUGAGGAAGAAGUGUGGUACUUUUUCUGUGAGCCUUAUUAUAAGUAUACCAAGAGUAAACGGGUACAUAGAAGAACAAAGGAAGGCUACUGGAAAAAGACUGGCAGAGGUUCUAACAUCAAGCGCAAAUACAAAACUGAGGUGAUUGGUACGAAGAAGAUUUUGUCUUUUUCCCGCGAUGAUGCUGCUGCCGAGAAAGAUAAGACUGAGUGGGUUAUACACGAGAUAGCUGUUGAAAAUAGCCCUGACUUUGAGGUAUUAGCCUCUGUUUUAGAACUGCAUAUGUGUUGUGAAACAGUCUGUUUAUUUUCUUGAAAAAUAAUUGUAAAAUACUCUGUUCGUGUUAUUGCAGAAGGACUUUGUUGUGUGUCGCCUUGAAAGAAAACGGGAGAAGAAAACGCUUGGUGUUGUUUCCACUAAGAGAAAACGGGAGACGAAGACGCUUGGUGUUGUUUCUACUAAGAGAAAACGGGACAAGAAGCUUGGUGUUUCCACCAGCGAUGGUGAUCAAUCUUGUCAAAAUUUGACUUCUAAAAGAAGUCACGUUGCAGAAGAUACUAAUAGAAAUCAUGUUGCAGAAAAAGUAAAUUUGGUUUCUACUAGGAAUCAUGUUGCAGAAAAUAUUGGUUUGGUCCCUGAACCUCAGGGAAGGGACCAUUCGAUUUCUUGUUACAGAAAUCAUGUUGCAGAAAAAAUGGUCGAAGAUUCUGUUGAGGCAGAAACUCGACGGCUUGCAGAACUCAAUCGACGGGGUGAUGGCUUUGAUGGACGGAAUGACACGUCUGUCUCGGCUGUGCAGUCAUCAGAUUAUCCAGAACAGGAAUCAUCAGAUUGUAAUGGUUCUAGUUGUGGUAGCGGUUUAUUGAAUUCUCAGUUGGACGGUGGGCAGGUAGAU